Molecule: ribosomal RNA, 305 nt
Filed under: uncultured bacterium
Lineage: Bacteria
Description: partial 16S ribosomal RNA
Rfam family: Bacterial small subunit ribosomal RNA
Source: RNAcentral
ACAGCAGCAGCCACGGUAAAACGUAGGGUGCGAGCGUUAAUCGGAAUUACUGGGCGUAAAGCGGGCGCAGACGGUUACUUAAGCAGGAUGUGAAAUCCCCGGGCUCAACCUGGGAAUUGCGUUCUGAACUGGGUGGCUAGAGUGUGUCAGAGGGGGGUAGAAUUCCACGUGUAGCAGUGAAAUGCGUAGAGAUGUGGAGGAAUACCGAUGGCGAAGGCAGCCCCCUGGGAUAGCACUGACGUUCAUGCCCGAAAGCGUGGGUAGCAAACAGGAUUAGAUACCCCCGUAGUCCCUGUCUCUUAUAC